UACGUAGGGGGCAAGCGUUAUCCGGAUUUACUGGGUGUAAAGGGAGCGCAGACGGCAGUGCAAGUCUGGAGUGAAAGCCCGGGGCCCAACCCCGGAACUGCUCUGGAAACUGUGCGGCUAGAGUACUGGAGGGGCAGGCGGAAUUCCUAGUGUAGCGGUGAAAUGCGUAGAUAUUAGGAGGAACACCAGUGGCGAAGGCGGCCUGCUGGACAGUGACUGACGUUGAGGCUCGAAAGCGUGGGGAGCAAACAGG
This 253-nucleotide ribosomal RNA is filed under the name uncultured bacterium. RNAcentral's name for it is "partial 16S ribosomal RNA". It matches the Rfam family "Bacterial small subunit ribosomal RNA", at positions 524 to 776 of the family's 1533-position model. The record is from RNAcentral.